UACGUAGGGGGCAAGCGUUGUCCGGAUUUAUUGGGCGUAAAGAGCGUGUAGGCGGUUAGGUAGGUCCGUUGUGAAAACUCGAGGCUCAACCUCGAGACGCCGAUGGAAACCAUCUGACUAGAGUCCGGAAGAGGAGAGUGGAAUUCCUGGUGUAGCGGUGAAAUGCGCAGAUAUCAGGAAGAACACCCGUGGCUAAGGCGGCUCUCUAGUACGUGACUGACGCUGAGACGCGAAAGCGUGGGGAG
RNAcentral lists this ribosomal RNA (245 nucleotides) under uncultured Conexibacter sp. RNAcentral describes it as "partial 16S ribosomal RNA". It matches the Rfam family "Bacterial small subunit ribosomal RNA", at positions 524 to 768 of the family's 1533-position model. Lineage: Bacteria; Bacillati; Actinomycetota; Thermoleophilia; Solirubrobacterales; Conexibacteraceae. The record is from RNAcentral.